RNAcentral lists this long non-coding RNA (1237 nucleotides) under Gossypium raimondii (Peruvian cotton). Its description in RNAcentral is "long non-coding RNA (GRAI_LNC000903)". Lineage: Eukaryota; Viridiplantae; Streptophyta; Magnoliopsida; Malvales; Malvaceae. The record is from RNAcentral.
AAGAAUUAAGAGAGAAUAUGGAGUUAGAUUGGGAAAAUAAAAUUAGUAUUGAUAAGGGAUUAAAUUAGAAUUUAGGUAAAGCUUAGGUAUAAAUGGAAAUGUUUUGAUGAAAUUGUGUAUUAAUAAUUUUUAAUUGUUUAAUUACGUAGCUAAUAUCGUGCAAGAGUCAUUGCCGAGAAAGGAAAGGGGAAGGUGAUCAAGGAGUGACUCGAGAAAAUUUACAGUUAGUAUUACCAUAAUUCGAAUUUAAUUAUUAAUUGUUAAAAUUUAAAUUAAUAUACAUGAUAAGAAAAUUGAGGUGAGUAUCAUGAUUGAAUCGAAUGAAAUAUAUAUAUAUAUAUAUACAUAUUGAUAUUGAAUUUAUUGAUAGUAAUUGUUGAAUUUUGAAUAAUAUGUUUAGUAAAUAAAAAUAAGGAGAAUAUCGAUAUUUAAUUGAAUGAAUUAAAAAUAUGAAUUGAAUAAAAGUGAAUUAAAUUAUGAAUAAGUGUGAAUACGUGAAUUGAGUAUUGACUGAAAAGUGGUUUGAUUCGAAUCGAGGUAUGAUUUGUGAAAUAUGUAUUGGUGCUGAAUUGUAUAUUGAUUUGAAAGUGGGAAGUGAAUUUGAAAUAGAAAAAUAUAUUGAAUCAAAUGGUGAUUAAAUUGUAUAAUGAUUUGAAUUGAAAGUAUGAGAAAGUGAUUGAAUUGAAAUGUGAUUCGGAAACCCUAUUAACUAGUUGGGCUGAGUCGGAUAUAGUUGGCAUGCCAUAGGAUUGGAAGUGUUCAGGGAUACUUCGACCUUGAGUCGAUGAGACACUGGGUGUCAUACUGUUACUUCGGAUAGAUUCGAUGAGGUACUAGGUACCAACUUACUUCGGCUUUGCCGAUGAGACACUGGGUGUCAACUAUUGCUUCGAACUAUCCGAUGAGGCACUGGGUGCCGUACUGGUGUGUUUGGUUGGAUCCGUGUAUCCGCCAAAGUCCGAGUCAUGUUAAUAGGGGGAAAAUAAAAGAAUUGAAGAAAGAAAUGAUAUUGAAUUAUGAAUUAUGUGAAUAUUUGAAGGUAUAUGGAUUGGAAAUUAAAAGCAAUUUGAAUUGAAGUAAAUUGAUUUGAAAUAAGACAUUGAAUUGAGAUGUGAAAAUGGAAUGUGAGAAUUAUGGUUCAAGAAACAAAUAAUGAUAAAUUUUAUGAAAUAGUUUUUGGUAAUAUGAAAUGAUGUAAAAAUGACAAGUGAAAAUAAAAUGAUUUGAAAUAGUGAAA